This 305-nucleotide ribosomal RNA is filed under the name uncultured Kluyvera sp. RNAcentral's name for it is "bacterial SSU rRNA". It matches the Rfam family "Bacterial small subunit ribosomal RNA", at positions 505 to 811 of the family's 1533-position model. Lineage: Bacteria; Pseudomonadati; Pseudomonadota; Gammaproteobacteria; Enterobacterales; Enterobacteriaceae. The record is from RNAcentral.
GUGCCAGCAGCGGCGGUAAUACGGAGGGUGCAAGCGUUAAUCGGAAUUACUGGGCGUAAAGCGCACGCAGGCGGUUCUGUCAAGUCGGAUGUGAAAUCCCCGGGCUCAACCUGGGAACUGCAUUCGAAACUGGCAGGCUGGAGUCUUGUAGAGGGGGUAGAAUUCCAGGUGUAGCGGUGAAAUGCGUAGAGAUCUGGAGGAAUACCGGUGGCGAAGGCGGCCCCCUGGACAAAGACUGACGCUCAGGUGCGAAAGCGUGGGAGCAAACAGGAUUAGAUACCCUGGUAGUCCACGCCGUAACGAUG